AACGACUUGAUUUUCGGGAGUUUGAAGUGAGGUAUCACGAUUCAUAACAAAUAUGUAGUCCAAAUGGCCCUGGUAAGCAUGAGCCCAAUUGGUAAAUGCUGGAUGAUCAAACGUAUUUUUUGCAUUUUCUGGGUGAACCAGUUUAUAGCCCACUGAAUAAAGACUGAAAAGUACGGGAUUUUGCUCGUGCUGCUGAUAAAAAGAACGGUAGUGAGGUACAUAGUCAUUUUGUACAUGCAAAAUUCUCUUUUUUGGGGUAGAAGCUGUGGAUUCGGGAACACUUGAGGUAGAAGAGGAUUGACAUUCUUCUUUGUCAUCUUCAUUGGAAUCAUUUUCUGUCUUAGUACUAGCAUUUUUUUCUUCCAACUCAGAUUCCCCAAAUACGUAAUUCAUACUACGUUCUAUAAUGUCAGUAGCCCUUUGGCAGAUGGAUAGAGGGCGGGUAGUUAGCGCAGGAAAGUUGGUAUCGAACGGUUCAGUGUUGAAGUCACCAGCUAUAAAAACAGGCCAAGAAGGAUGACUUUGUGCCAUCUUGUUUACUUCCUUUACCAAUAUUGCACCUUGGCGUAACCUUUCGUAAGAGCCGUAAGGAUGCCAAAAUAAAUGUGUAGUAGCCAAGAACAACCCUCUGCUCGGGUCAUCUACCCUUUCAAGGCGUACACAACAACCGAUGUUCUUGGUGUUCAUUCUACCUGGUAAUUCAUCAUGAUCAUCGUAAUAAAUAGUCAAAUCUUGCACCUUUUUGAACAAAGAGGAUUUCCAAAA
Schizosaccharomyces pombe (fission yeast) is the source of this 765-nucleotide non-coding RNA. The record is from the annotation of a GenBank genome assembly. NCBI's taxonomy places the organism in Eukaryota, Fungi, Ascomycota, Schizosaccharomycetes, Schizosaccharomycetales, Schizosaccharomycetaceae.